GUCCCUGUUGCGCAAUGGAUAGCGCGUUGGACUUCUAAUUCAAAGGUCGUGGGUUCGAAUUCCACCUGGGAUG
This 73-nucleotide transfer RNA is filed under the name Trichonephila clavata. It matches the Rfam family "tRNA". Rfam says of the family: Transfer RNA (tRNA) molecules are approximately 80 nucleotides in length. Their secondary structure includes four short double-helical elements and three loops (D, anti-codon, and T loops). Further hydrogen bonds mediate the characteristic L-shaped molecular structure. tRNAs have two regions of fundamental functional importance: the anti-codon, which is responsible for specific mRNA codon recognition, and the 3' end, to which the tRNAs corresponding amino acid is attached (by aminoacyl-tRNA synthetases). tRNAs cope with the degeneracy of the genetic code in two manners: having more than one tRNA (with a specific anti-codon) for a particular amino acid; and 'wobble' base-pairing, i.e. permitting non-standard base-pairing at the 3rd anti-codon position. Lineage: Eukaryota; Metazoa; Arthropoda; Arachnida; Araneae; Nephilidae. The record is from Rfam by way of RNAcentral.